CACCGCGGUUAUACGAGAGGUCCAAGUUGACACAAACCGGCGUAAAGGGUGGUUAAUAAUAGACAAACUAAGGUCGAACAUCUUCAAGGCUGUCAUACGCACCCGAAGACAGGAAGAUCUCCUACGAAAGUGACCUCAACAAUUAUGAAUCCACGAAAGCUAGGGAG
RNAcentral lists this ribosomal RNA (167 nucleotides) under Ptereleotris hanae (blue hana goby). RNAcentral's name for it is "partial 12S rRNA". The record is from RNAcentral. Lineage: Eukaryota; Metazoa; Chordata; Actinopteri; Gobiiformes; Gobiidae.